GGUCCAGCCUGCCCAGUGACAAAGUUCAACGGCCGCGGUACUCUGACCGCGCGAAGGUAGCAUAAUCACUUGUUCUUUAAAUGGGGACUAGUAUCAACGGCAUCACGAGGGUCGUACUGUCUCCUCUCUCCAAUCAAUGAAACUGAUCUCUCCGUGAAGAAGCGGAGAUUUAACUAUAAGACGAGAAGACCCCAUGGAGCUUUAAACCUUAUUACAAUCCUUAUCUUUCAACACCCACAAAAUAAUUAAGGCUCUGUAAAUCGGCUUUAGGUUGGGGUGACCGCGGAGCAUAAAAAAACCUCCACGAUGAAUGGAGUCCCACCUCCUUAUCUAAGAGCUACAACUCUAAGAAUCAGAAUACUGACAUUCAAUGAUCCGACACUCGAUCAACGAACCAAGUUACCCUGGGGAUAACAGCGCAAUCUACUUCGAGAGCCCGUAUCAACAAGUAGGUUUACGACCUCGAUGUUGGAUCAGGGUAUCCCAGUGGUGCAGCAGCUACUAACGGUUCGUUUGUUCAACGAUUAAAACCCU
RNAcentral lists this ribosomal RNA (534 nucleotides) under Spinomantis bertini. RNAcentral's name for it is "partial 16S ribosomal RNA". It matches the Rfam family "Bacterial large subunit ribosomal RNA", at positions 1851 to 2597 of the family's 2925-position model. Lineage: Eukaryota; Metazoa; Chordata; Amphibia; Anura; Mantellidae. The record is from RNAcentral.